Molecule: non-coding RNA, 58 nt
Organism: Aedes albopictus (Asian tiger mosquito)
Lineage: Eukaryota; Metazoa; Arthropoda; Insecta; Diptera; Culicidae
Source: Rfam
UAGCCUAGUGGUUAUGGUUAUGGAUCGCCAAUCCGGAAAUGACGGGUUCGAUUCCCGU